AUUAAAUAAAAUAAAUAUGGUUUUUAAUUAGGGAAUUGUGUUAGAAGCACAAGCUGUACCAGCAACUGUAAAACUGACGAACACUGUAAUAACCACUGAGAAAAUUUCUUGGGAAGGGCAGUAAGUAGGCUGAAGUAAAGCCAGUAGACCUACCAUGUUUUUGAACUUUGA
Molecule: non-coding RNA, 171 nt
Filed under: Spiroplasma eriocheiris
Lineage: Bacteria; Bacillati; Mycoplasmatota; Mollicutes; Entomoplasmatales; Spiroplasmataceae
Source: RNAcentral